UGCCCCUUGGUGUAACUGGCAACACGUCUGCCUCUGGAGCAGAAGAGUCUAGGUUCGAGACCUAGAGGGGCAAC
RNAcentral lists this transfer RNA (74 nucleotides) under Gemmatimonadota bacterium. Its description in RNAcentral is "tRNA-Gln". It matches the Rfam family "tRNA". From Rfam's summary of the family: Transfer RNA (tRNA) molecules are approximately 80 nucleotides in length. Their secondary structure includes four short double-helical elements and three loops (D, anti-codon, and T loops). Further hydrogen bonds mediate the characteristic L-shaped molecular structure. tRNAs have two regions of fundamental functional importance: the anti-codon, which is responsible for specific mRNA codon recognition, and the 3' end, to which the tRNAs corresponding amino acid is attached (by aminoacyl-tRNA synthetases). tRNAs cope with the degeneracy of the genetic code in two manners: having more than one tRNA (with a specific anti-codon) for a particular amino acid; and 'wobble' base-pairing, i.e. permitting non-standard base-pairing at the 3rd anti-codon position. Lineage: Bacteria; Pseudomonadati; Gemmatimonadota. The record is from RNAcentral.